RNAcentral lists this long non-coding RNA (215 nucleotides) under Homo sapiens (human). RNAcentral's name for it is "HSALNT0381907". The record is from RNAcentral. Lineage: Eukaryota; Metazoa; Chordata; Mammalia; Primates; Hominidae.
AAAAAAAAAAAAAAAAAAAAGCUAGGCAUGAUGGGAAAAAAAAAAAAAAAAAAAAAAAAAAAAAAAAAAAAAAAAACCACCACCCUGACACAGCUGUUUCUAAUGGGUGUGUGGUUGUGGCUUUGUUUGCUUUUCUAGCCCUUGGUGAUUGUGAACUGGUCCGAGGGGUGACGGAUGGCUCUGUAUGCUCUGUAAGCAGCUGCCGUCAACUUUUC